This 52-nucleotide microRNA precursor is filed under the name Chlorocebus sabaeus (green monkey). Its description in RNAcentral is "mir-1302 microRNA precursor family". It matches the Rfam family "mir-1302 microRNA precursor family". Lineage: Eukaryota; Metazoa; Chordata; Mammalia; Primates; Cercopithecidae. The record is from Rfam by way of RNAcentral.
UUUUUAAUAUAAAUAUGUACCAUCCAAUAUUUGGGGCAUACUUAUGUUAAAA